UUUUGUAAUCCAGUUCACUAUGACUCACAUGAAAUUUUUUUCCUCGGUUCCUCAUACAUAAAACCUUCAAGUGCCCAUUAAGUAGCUUGUUUUAUCCUCUGAGCGAACACAGGUAUGCACAUGACAUGUAAUGAGUUACAUGUAAUGGUUCGCCUUCGGCGUUAAUCGUGUGUGUAUGCCGGUUUUCUACCAGAGUUUCGACCUUUCUAGUGAAUAGUGAGUUUGCCUUCAAUAAAUUAGAAUGCUCAAAACAAGGGCUUGCUUAAAUCGCUGAUCAUGAAAUAAUAGAAGAUAACUUCGAUUCUAUUAAUCAAUUCAAAAAAUGGAAUGAAUGGUUAAGGAGGACAUUCGUAUCCCUGUGCGAAGAGAGAAGAAAUUCGUGAACGUAAACUAUGCCAUCUAGCAAUUCGAUGGGGUACUAAUAACAGGGCGUUGUCAAGCAGCUUCUAAGGCACGAAAGUCUUUCGGUUCUUGUGAUAGUAUGAUUGCAAGCUAAAACUUAGGGAAAUUGACGGAAUAGCAAUACUAGGAGUAGAGUCUGCAGCUUCAUUUGACUCAACACGGCCGAACUCAUCUGGCCCAAAUGCGGAAAAGAUUGACAGAUUAAAGUUGGGCAACUAAGCCCGCAUUUGGACACUAAAAUUGGGCAACUCGACCGACUUUACGUUUGAAUACUAUAGUAUUCCUCGUACUAGACGGUUUUAGUUAUCAAUCCAAUGUGUAAUCUUAAGAAUUGUCCACCUUCUGUCCUAAACAUUGCACGAGUAAGCCAGACUUAGGCCAUUAAAAUUUAUCAAUCAGACCGUUUUAAUGGUUUUUACACUAUAGUGUUCAUCAUACUAGACGAUUUCAAUUAUCAGCUCAAUGUGUAAGCUUGAGUAUUUUCCGUCUUUUCCCUCAAUUUGGGCAACUAAACAUAACCUAAACCCUUCAAAUUGGGCAAACAAACCACUUCGGCCCUUAUAUAAUACUGUUAAUCUGAAACUGAUGAAAUAGUUCCUCAGUUCAACUGCCUCCAAAAUAUCAUGAAACUGUUGGU
This 1039-nucleotide non-coding RNA is filed under the name Dictyocaulus viviparus (bovine lungworm). RNAcentral's name for it is "Eukaryotic small subunit ribosomal RNA". It matches the Rfam family "Eukaryotic small subunit ribosomal RNA", at positions 626 to 1461 of the family's 1831-position model. The record is from Rfam by way of RNAcentral. Lineage: Eukaryota; Metazoa; Nematoda; Chromadorea; Rhabditida; Metastrongylidae.